GAGUUUGAUCCUGGUCAGAACGAACGCUGGCGGCAGGCNUAACACAUGCAAGUCGAGCGCACCCUUUCGGGGGUGAGCGGCGGACGGGUGAGUAACGCGUGGGAACGUGCCCUUUGCUUCGGAAUAGUCCCGGGAAACUGGGGGUAAUACCGGAUACGCCCUUUAUUGGGGAAAGAUUUAUCGGCGAAGGAUCGGCCCGCGUUGGAUUAGGUAGUUGGUGGGGUAAUGGCCUACCAAGCCGACGAUCCAUAGCUGGUUUGAGAGGAUGAUCAGCCACACUGGGACUGAGACACGGCCCAGACUCCUACGGGAGGCAGCAGA
This 321-nucleotide ribosomal RNA is filed under the name uncultured bacterium. Its description in RNAcentral is "bacterial SSU rRNA". It matches the Rfam family "Bacterial small subunit ribosomal RNA", at positions 9 to 355 of the family's 1533-position model. The record is from RNAcentral.